This 666-nucleotide ribosomal RNA is filed under the name uncultured fungus. RNAcentral describes it as "eukaryotic LSU rRNA". It matches the Rfam family "Eukaryotic large subunit ribosomal RNA", at positions 95 to 784 of the family's 3401-position model. The record is from RNAcentral. Lineage: Eukaryota; Fungi.
GAAGCGGCAAUUGCUCAAAUUUGAAAUCUGGUCCCCCUUGGGGCCCGAAUUGUAAUUUGCAGAGGAUGCUUCGGUGAGGACGCUGGCCCAAGUCCCCUGGAACGGGACGUCAUAGAGGGUGAGAACCCCGUCCGGCCGCGCGACCAAACCAUGUGUUGCUCCUUCGACGAGUCGAGUUGUUUGGGAAUGCAGCUCAAAAUGGGUGGUAAAUUCCAUCUAAGGCUAAAUACUGGCCAGAGACCGAUAGCGCACAAGUAGAGUGAUCGAAAGAUGAAAAGCACUUUGAAAAGAGAGUUAAAAAGCACGUGAAAUUGUUGAAAGGGAAGCGCUUGCUGCCAGACCCUUCCGUGACUGCUCAAUCGGCCUCGGCCGACUCAAUCUUUCACGGCUAGGGCCAGCAUCGGUUUAGGUGGUUGGAUAAAGGCCCUGGGAAUGUGACCCUUCGGGGUGUUAUAGCCCUGGGUGCAAUGCGACCUGCUUAGACCGAGGGAAGCGAUUUUUUCCAGGAUGCUGGCUUAAUGGUUGCAAGCGGCCCGUCUUGAAACACGGACCAAGGAGUCUAACAUUCACGCGAGUGUUUGGGUUUUAAACCCGUCCGCGAAAUGAAAGUGAACGUAGGUGGGAGCCUUUCGGGGUGCACCAUCGACCGAUCCUGAUGUUUUCGGA